This 74-nucleotide transfer RNA is filed under the name Candidatus Raymondbacteria bacterium RifOxyA12_full_50_37. Its description in RNAcentral is "tRNA-Pro". It matches the Rfam family "tRNA". From Rfam's summary of the family: Transfer RNA (tRNA) molecules are approximately 80 nucleotides in length. Their secondary structure includes four short double-helical elements and three loops (D, anti-codon, and T loops). Lineage: Bacteria; Candidatus Raymondiibacteriota. The record is from RNAcentral. RNAcentral also lists the same sequence under 6 other names.
CGGGGCGUAGCGCAGCCUGGUAGCGUACUUGGUUCGGGACCAAGUGGCCGGUGGUUCAAAUCCACUCGCCCCGA